CAGAGCGAACGUUAGCGGCAGGCUUAACACAUGCAAGUCGAGCGAGAAAGGGGCUUCGGCUCCGAGUAAAGCGGCGGACGGGUGCGUAACACGUGGAUAAUCUGCCUCGUGGCGGGGGACAACAGUCCGAAAGGACUGCUAAUACCGCAUGUCAGGUCGGAAACUCCGGUUUCUGACGAAAAAGAGGGCACCCGCAAGGGGCUCUCACCACGAGAUGAGUCCGCGUCCCAUCAGCUAGUUGGCGGUGUAAUAGACCACCAAGGCUUAGACGGGUAGCUGGUCUGAGAGGAUGACCAGCCACACUGGGACUGAGACACGGCCCAGACUCCUACGGGAGGCAGCAGUGGGGAAUAUUGGACAAUGGGCGAAAGCCUGAUCCAGCCAUGCCGCGUGAGUGAUGAAGGCC
RNAcentral lists this ribosomal RNA (406 nucleotides) under uncultured bacterium. RNAcentral's name for it is "bacterial SSU rRNA". It matches the Rfam family "Bacterial small subunit ribosomal RNA", at positions 25 to 416 of the family's 1533-position model. The record is from RNAcentral.